RNAcentral lists this unclassified non-coding RNA (186 nucleotides) under Glomeraceae sp. RNAcentral's name for it is "partial contains 5.8S ribosomal RNA and internal transcribed spacer 2". The stretch from base 1 to 71 matches the Rfam family "5.8S ribosomal RNA", at positions 84 to 154 of the family's 154-position model. Lineage: Eukaryota; Fungi; Glomeromycota; Glomeromycetes; Glomerales; Glomeraceae. The record is from RNAcentral.
GUGAAUCAUCGAAUUUUUGAACGCAAAUUGCACUCCCUGGUAUUCCGGGGAGUAUGCCUGUUUGAGGGUCGUUAGUAGAAAAAUCGAAGCAUAGCUAUUUUUUUUGAGGGUGAUCGCGUCGGAAUUGAGUCGACUUUCUUAUGUUAAUUCAUGUAAAUGUGCCUUAAAAUUGAUCCAUUCGGUAUG